Molecule: transfer RNA, 73 nt
Filed under: Wolbachia pipientis
Lineage: Bacteria; Pseudomonadati; Pseudomonadota; Alphaproteobacteria; Rickettsiales; Anaplasmataceae
Rfam family: tRNA
About the family: Transfer RNA (tRNA) molecules are approximately 80 nucleotides in length. Their secondary structure includes four short double-helical elements and three loops (D, anti-codon, and T loops).
Source: Rfam by way of RNAcentral
GCCGGCUUAGCUCAAUUGGUAGAGCAACUGACUUGUAAUCAGUAGGUUGUCAGUUCAACUCCGACAGCCGGCA